GACGAACGCUGGCGGCGUGCUUAACACAUGCAAGUCGAACGGAAAGGCCCUGCUUUUGUGGGGUGCUCGAGUGGCGAACGGGUGAGUAACACGUGAGUAACCUGCCCUUGACUUUGGGAUAACUUCAGGAAACUGGGGCUAAUACCGGAUAGGAGCUCCUGCUGCAUGGUGGGGGUUGGAAAGUUUCGGCGGUUGGGGAUGGACUCGCGGCUUAUCAGCUUGUUGGUGGGGUAGUGGCUUACCAAGGCUUUGACGGGUAGCCGGCCUGAGAGGGUGACCGGCACCAUGGGGCUGAGGUACCGGCCCGGCCUCUACCGGGGGCAAGCGGUGGGAAUUUUUCCCCAUUGGCCGGAGGCCUGUUCCACCACCCCCGGGUCGGGAUGACGGCCUUCGGGUUGUAAACCGCUUUCGCCUGUGACGAAGCGUGAGUGACGGUAAUGGGUAAAGAAGCACCGGCUAACUACGUG
This 467-nucleotide ribosomal RNA is filed under the name uncultured bacterium. Its description in RNAcentral is "partial 16S ribosomal RNA". It matches the Rfam family "Bacterial small subunit ribosomal RNA", at positions 28 to 507 of the family's 1533-position model. The record is from RNAcentral.